UACGUAGGGUGCAGGCGUUAAUCGGAAUUACUGGGCGUAAAGGGCGCGUAGGCGGCUUUAUAAGUCGGGGGUGAAAGCCUGUGGCUCAACCACAGAAUUGCCUUCGAUACUGUAGAGCUUGAGACCGGAAGAGGUAAGUGGAACUGCGAGUGUAGAGGUGAAAUUCGUAGAUAUUCGCAAGAACACCAGUGGCGAAGGCGGCUUACUGGUCCGGUUCUGACGCUGAGGCGCGAAAGCGUGGGGAGCAAACAGG
RNAcentral lists this ribosomal RNA (253 nucleotides) under uncultured bacterium. Its description in RNAcentral is "partial 16S ribosomal RNA". It matches the Rfam family "Bacterial small subunit ribosomal RNA", at positions 524 to 776 of the family's 1533-position model. The record is from RNAcentral.